UAAUAGUGUAUAUUAAAGUUGUUGCAGUUAAAAAGCUCGUAGUUGAAUGUUGGUGUCGAACGAGCGGUCAGCUUCGGCUGUACUGCUCUCUCGACUCCUUCCUUCUGUGGGCUAUGUCGCACUUUACUGUGUGGCGCUAGGACGCAGAUCGUUUACUGUGAAAAAAUUAGAGUGUUCAAAGCAGGCCGUACGCUUGAAUACAUUAGCAUGGAAUAAUGGAAUAGGACGUCGGGCCUAUUUUGUUGGUUCUAGGACCGUCGUAAUGAUUAAUAGGGACAGUUGGGGCCGUUUAUAUUCCGUAGUCAGAGGUGAAAUUCUUGGAUUUACGGAAGAUAAACUACUGCGAAAGCAUUCGGCAAGGAUGUUUUCGUUAA
This 374-nucleotide ribosomal RNA is filed under the name uncultured eukaryote. RNAcentral describes it as "partial 18S ribosomal RNA". It matches the Rfam family "Eukaryotic small subunit ribosomal RNA", at positions 592 to 976 of the family's 1831-position model. The record is from RNAcentral.